GACGGACGCUGGUUUGGUCAUUAUAGUUAAUGACGCAUCAUCAUACACGUUGAUCUAUCGGCGAGUUGUUCUUGGCUACAUCUUAGCUCCUGCUCCUCAUGCUAGGCCGGCAUGCGGUUGUGACGCUUCUUGGCAUGGUGAUUCCAAGCAUGUCAUGCUGGUAAGUUGUUGUUGGUGGUGUAUUCCUGCUUAAUUUAGGGAGAAAACUAAGGAGCUCACCGCAUAUCUGCUUGUUAAUUAAUCCUUCCUUCUAUGAAUCGACAUCUCUCGCAAAUCCGGAUGCAUAUCUUCACUUGAGUUGAGGGCCAUGGUUGGGCAGCAGCAGCAGCCAUCUCUCUGCGCUGCUCCGCUAGAUAGGAGUUCAACAUAUGGACAGAUUGAUACUGUCUGUACGUGCUCUGGGCCUGGCCACUUGCCGACUUGCGGUUGCAGAAACUGCCAAUUAUAAAUGCUGUGAUAUAUAGCUCUCCUGUAAGAUUCCACGGGCACCGACGUACGCCUGGCUGGACCAAGCACGAAUGGUACCAGCUAACAAAAUUUGCCGCGAGACAGUAGUUUAUAAUUUGGCACACUGCUACGGUUUGUGCCAUCUUAUCAUUUCAUUAGUUUAUUCAAUAUAUAAAUCAUCUUAUAAUCAACGGAAGGAGACAAAACCUCCAUAAGCAAAUGGCUGAACACACUACUGAAUACUGUUAAUUUGGCUGAACCACUUUUCUUGGUAAAGCCUGGCCCACUUUUAAUUUGAAGUCAAUCUGGUGUUCGGGUAUCUGAUUUUUCUAAUUUAAGUUAUGGAACGUAUGGUGCUAAUGUGGUAGCGUGGUCCAAUUAUGCACUUAGCUAGUUCAAAUUAGUGUAUGGGAUGAGUUUGUGUACAAAAGUUAUGUUUGGAAAAAUUUAGAAGAUUAAGUUUUAGAGGAUCUGCUGGAUGAACAAAACUUUAACCCCUAGAAGAAAUAUUUGAAUUUUUUUAUAAGAGUGAGAUUUGGACUUUUAGAUUAUACUAGAAGGGCUGGAUGCACUUUGCUGCGCCUUUGGUGUUGUUGGGUUUCUUAGAAACAUUACUUUGUUCUGUUUCAAAAUAUAAUGUAUUAAUUUUUGAAAAGUUUAAAUUUUUAAGUUUGAUCAAAUUUGUAGAAAUAUAUUAAAAUUCAUAAUAUCAAAUCGGUAUGAUUAGAUUCAUCAUGAAAGGAAUUCCUGCACUUUUUUUUUGUUUAACAUUGUGGAUGUCGAUUUUUUUUGCUCUGAAACAUGGUCAAAGUUAAAGAAAUUUGACUUAAAAAAACUAAUACCCAUUCUAUUUUGGACUGAUGGAAUAUUCAGUUUGGCGGGUGGGGAGAUAAUGGUGUCUGUUUUAUUUUUAUUUGUAAUAAUAUAGUGAUUUUAUGGGCCUUUCGUGGUGUGGUUCUGCGUUAUCCGUUAACCAACAUAUAUUUAUGCGGAUUUUUUUGCGUCAGUGGAUACAUGUACUAUAUUAGUGCUACAAUUUCAUAUGAUGACACUUCCUUUUUGUAGGUGAUGAGAAUGUGUGUGAGAUUGAUAUGUUUUUCUAGGUCGGUUGCUACUGACUAAUUUAAAUCAUUGGCCCGAUCCAGAUCAAAAACCAAAUCCAAAAUUAAGUAUCUUAAUUGAAUGAAAAAGCUUCAAAAUUAGGAAACAUAUGCAAUUAGAAUAAUUGGAGGGGAGAGAUCCUUAAGAAAUUGUUGACCCAGUCAAAAUCGGGUGACCGAGUUCUAAACUGAAGACCUCAAUUAAUUGUGAGACCUUAGGGAGCGGUAUCAUAUUACACUAUCAUCACAACCUCCGCGUUGCUUCUAGGGGCGACUCGGAUGGAGAAAUCCUAGUAAUCACCCAACCUCCCCUACUUCCUGUCCCUCCGCUCAUCAUCGUCGAUGGAUGCCGACGGCGAAGCCCUCACCAGUGGACGGUGGUGGCAGGGUCCUUGUUCAUGUGCUCGCGUGCUGUUGUUGGGCGCGCUGGAGCGGCGAGAGCACGCGGUGGCACGGCGGGCGGUUGCCUACUAUCAGGAGAGGUCGAGAUGGCGUGGACCGUCCAUGCGGUGGAGCUUCUAUGGCGGCUGCCGAUCUCUCAUGCAUGCGACAGAGUUGAGGGCGUCCAAUUCUGGACUGCCCUGGCCCGUGACAAUCACUCUGCCCCCACCCACCCUUCUUCCGCCUCCCACCCUCCUAGCCGAAUCCGGUGACAGCCGUUGGUGGGUUGGUUAGCACGUGCACGGCUACCCUGACGAUUGCUGCUAUGGUGUGACCUGGAAGAUCCUAGCGACAUAGGUCGCGGACGAGCGUGGCAGUGGCAUGGUGCAUGUAGGUGCUCUUGCCUGGUAAACACGCUCAUGGAAGUGGCCAACAUCCUGGCGCUGUGCCUGCCGGUGCCCACUCUACGAUGAUAACAUUCUCAGGCUCCCUCGUGUGUGUGUUGUCUUCUUCGACGAUUCUUUGCCAUGUCUGGUCUGCCACUGAAUCCGAGGUCUUUUCUCGUGGGUUGGGGCAAAAUCCUCGCGUAACGAUGGCCUUUGUUGUCAAAUGCGACGCCCGAGGGUGACGUCACCUCCUUGGAGGCUUUGGCAUGAUGACCCUAACCGGACGUCCUUCGUGAGCACCAAGAGAAAUCCUAGCUGCAGCCUCCUAGAUUGGGCAGCAGAGGCGUCUCAACACCGUUCCCCUCUUGAAGGCACUACCUUGGCUGCAAAAUGGAGUGCUUGAUGCGGCGGAUGGUGGCUGGUGAUGCAUCACUCUACGUAGACCGCCACACAAGGAGUAGGUCACAUCAUAUGCCAGCGUCGAUGCUCCCCCAACGAAUGCUACACCAAUUCCAAUCGGGCCUGCCUUUCACUCGCCGACUCCCUAGGCACAUGGGUGCGAGGUACGUCAACCUGGGCAGUCCUGGAUCUGCAAUCAUCCAUGGAGGUGUUUGUCAAUGGUGGUGACGCUGCCCUCUUGCUCCAAAUCUCCGCGUCUCGCCAUUUAUGAUUGGAGGCAAGGCCGGCGAUGCCUGAUGUCAUUGCGUGUGUGUAGAUGAGGGCACCUCCUUACCUAGUUGUAGUCAUUUGGUGAGGACGAUCACGCGCGUGCGUGUGCGUGUAUAUGUGUGUGUGUCCCUCCUUUCUGGAGGUUUUACUCCCGUCCUCCAGAAAAAUGAUAAGGAAGCAUAUUGUAUAGUAUAGGAGAAUUAGAUAAGAGAGAUUUGAGAAAUUGUUGACCCGGUCAAAAUUGAAUAACCUAAUUUCAAUUGACGACCUCAAUUGAACGCGGGCUCGUUAAAACUAAGGAGCAUGCCGUCCCAUCUCGUGGGUCGCUCCUACGACUCACGAUGCGAUCACCGACGCUUGCCCGAACAGCCGGGCCCCCGCGCUCCUCUCCCUCACCGUCGCCGACGGACUCUGGCCGGCCCGCGGUGGCGGCGGGGCGGCUUCCUCCACCUCUUCCUCUCCUUUCGUGCCCUUCAUCCGGGCUCCCUCUUCCCCGACUAGCAACCAGAUCCUCCCAUGCGCCCUUCGCUUGCCCUUGGCGGUCGUGACCUUGAGUGGUGGCGGUGUGGCAACCCUCGGCAGGCAUGAGGGUGGCAUGUGAUGCGGCCGCUGGAUCUUGGUGGAGCUGCUCCGAGCAUAUGGCUUACGAUCAUGGGUGGGUUCCCGGCCGUCGCCGCACUGGAUCCGCCAGCUUCGACAUGCUCCCUUCGAUCUGUUGUCUCCCGUGGACAUGGCCCUCCUCUCGUCGGUGGCCCUGAUGGCUGCUUCUCCCGGGAUGCCCGGUAGCCUAGAUCUAGGGUUUGUCUGUGUGGGGGGAAAGCUGCCGGCUUUGGGUGCAGUGGGUGCGGAGUUGCCACGACGCGGUAGCAUGGGUGGCCGACUGCGUGCUUGCGGUCCAUCACCAUUGGUGUGGUGGGUGAGAUUGGAUCCCCUCGAUUGCUGGAGCGGCGGCUCCAUAUAGUGGGCGCGGCAACACCUUUCCAAUGGGUGUUGCUGCGCGGGUGCUCGUGUGUUGCCUUGGCCUUGCGGACGGUGAGGUGACUCAUUUGGGGGCGUCCCUCAUGCGGGUUUGGUCUUUGCUGCCAUCCGGGUUGUUUCAGGCGUCAUGUGUAACCUUCCUUGGCCGACCAUGGCUGUUGGAUCUGAUUGGUGGGGGUCAAGUCCCGAUUGAAAGCUUUGCCCGACUACAUUGGUGGCGGUGAUAGCGACACUGGUGUGUGUCGUUUCCCUUCUUGAAGGUGUCAUUGUGGGUGACCCCAUUCACCAUAGGCUUUGGGUGAAAAUCAUUGGUCUGGCUGGUUACAGACCGGAAGGUGACGACACAGUGGCAUCGUGUCCUCCUUGGAGGCUCCGUCUUGUGAGAAAGGUCCUAUGCUGUUGGUUGCUGGGAUGAGUGUUUGUGUAUGACAACUUCUUCUUGCCAUGUGUCGGCCCCUUGCCUCAACGGUGUUGCUCUCAUGUGUAGCUAGGUUUCGCGUGGUGGUUGUGCCCGAAGACCUCCCUUUGGUGUCCUGGCCUAGCCUCCAUCCGUGUUCUAGGGUGGUGAGCAUUCCGUCGUCCGGUGGUGCGACACCUCUCGAGCCGGGGCGAGGAGAUGGGGGAUCCUUCUAGCGAUACAAGAUGGCGCUGGUCUGUUGAGCGCCCACACGACGGAAUUGGCAUAGCCUCCUCUACCGGAUGAUCUCCUUCUCGAGCCAGGUCCAUUCACAUCAUUGGUCCUCUGCACAUGCCCGAGGGCUCCCAUGUCUCACUUUCUUACUUUUGAGCUAUGUUG
RNAcentral lists this long non-coding RNA (4757 nucleotides) under Hordeum vulgare. RNAcentral's name for it is "long non-coding RNA (HVUL_LNC007049)". The record is from RNAcentral. Lineage: Eukaryota; Viridiplantae; Streptophyta; Magnoliopsida; Poales; Poaceae.